This is a long non-coding RNA of Solanum stenotomum, 240 nucleotides long. RefSeq lists it as uncharacterized. The transcript is spliced from 3 exons. Lineage: Eukaryota; Viridiplantae; Streptophyta; Magnoliopsida; Solanales; Solanaceae. The record is from RefSeq and is a predicted model, not a curated record.
UACCUACCAUUAAAUAUAUUAUUUAUGCAAUAACUCAGAGCUCAUAUAUAUCUCUCUCUCUAUACUAGACAACACCUUGUGUCUGGCAGAUUGAAUUCAUGGUUAUUGAGGCUUGAAUUACGAAAUUGGAGAUACAACAAGGAAAUAAAAGUUGGUUUAGAAGAUGGCUCAUAAUGACAUUGACAAUGUGUUAGAUCAGCUAAGAUGGAUCAAGGGUGGAGGUGAUUUGGAUGGAAUCAG